UUGAAACACCGGUUCUCAUACAAUCACUAAAGUUAAGCAAUGCCGAGCCUGAUUGAUACCUAGAAGGGUAACUGUUUGGGAAUACCAGGUGCUGUAA
Molecule: non-coding RNA, 97 nt
Organism: Acanthosepion pharaonis
Lineage: Eukaryota; Metazoa; Mollusca; Cephalopoda; Sepiida; Sepiidae
Source: the annotation of a GenBank genome assembly